GGGGAUUUAGCUCAGAAGCUUAAGCACCUGCCUUGCAAGCAGGCGGUCGUGAGUCUGAUCCCCA
Molecule: transfer RNA, 64 nt
Filed under: Cavia porcellus (domestic guinea pig)
Lineage: Eukaryota; Metazoa; Chordata; Mammalia; Rodentia; Caviidae
Rfam family: tRNA
About the family: Transfer RNA (tRNA) molecules are approximately 80 nucleotides in length.
Source: Rfam by way of RNAcentral